RNAcentral lists this ribosomal RNA (253 nucleotides) under uncultured bacterium. RNAcentral describes it as "partial 16S ribosomal RNA". It matches the Rfam family "Bacterial small subunit ribosomal RNA", at positions 524 to 776 of the family's 1533-position model. The record is from RNAcentral.
UACGAAGGGGGCUAGCGUUGCUCGGAAUCACUGGGCGUAAAGGGUGCGUAGGCGGGUCUUUAAGUCAGGGGUGAAAUCCUGGAGCUCAACUCCAGAACUGCCUUUGAUACUGAAGAUCUUGAGUUCGGGAGAGGUGAGUGGAACUGCGAGUGUAGAGGUGAAAUUCGUAGAUAUUCGCAAGAACACCAGUGGCGAAGGCGGUUGCCUGGGGCUUUGCUGACGCUGAUGCGCGAAAGCGUGGGGAGCAAUCCGG